AGGGAGCUUCCAGGAGGAUGUAUGCUUGAGACGGUUCUUCCAAGAGCAGGACUUAAGUUUUGGAGCCUCGGUCUUCCUAAAUAUCUCCCCCCCCCCAGACUCCACAGCUUCUGAUGAAUAGUUUGGCAGAGAGCCAGGAAUUGAUAUGUGUCAAGUGGCUGUCCUUGGAGAUAUUUAAUGUCAUGGGAGUGUCAAAGACUAUCAGGAGGAGUUUCUGUGAGAAUAACAGUGACCCUCUCAGUCCCCCCUCUUGAAGCACAUCAUUCUCAGCAGUGUCCUUUAGCAUACAUGAGUAUUUGAGGCCAAGAGGAAUACUUUCCUUGGCCAUGUAUCAAGAUGUCAGUUAAUUUGAACUUGAACACACAUGAUUAGGUAAUAGGGAUGUUAACCAAUUUGGACACCAGGCCUUACCUGUAUCACAUCAGACAUUAGCCGAGAAUGUACUGCAAUUCUUCUUGUUUGGGCCAUCUUUUGCAUUUCAGGGCAGUGGAAGGGCAGUUGGGAUUGUGCUAUAUGUUUAUGAUGGCAUAUGUGAUCAUAUGGUUAUGAUGGUUGGGAAUAGGCACACAGGUGAAAAUUAAGCUUAAAGAUAGCAUUCCUGCUCUAUCAGGGAUUCACUGUGUCUCUAGAUCUCUUCAUCUUCAGACUUCUAUUUAAGAUUAAGCAUGGUAUUUCCUGGUCCUGUGCCCUCAUAUAUGCCAGUUUACUUGUGUUUAUCUACCUACAGAGUUUGUUCUGAAGACAUCAUCACAACCUUCCACUACCACUGAUGAGGAAAAGAGAAUGAAGUGUUUGGAGAAGUUAAAAAUUGUUCUCCACAAGAUUUAAAAUGAGAGAGGAACUCUAGGAAAUCCCUUCCCAUUAGCCACGCAAAGAUCUAAGUAACAGCUCUGACGACUCACAUUUUUUGUUGACAGUCCUGAGAUGUCUGUUCAGCCAAUAUUUCCUCACAUCACAGGAAACUACUAGUCCAGGGUAUCCUAAUCGUCAAAAUCAUUUUCCUGAUUCCAUCUUAAACACAGAAUGUUAAAUUCACAUAGGAUUGAGACGGGGGCCAAGAUUCUACAAUUGAGAAUUCUUACCUAAGAAAAGGAGAAUAAUCUUCACAGGUUUAAGUUGGAGCCUGGACUGUGGCAGAGGUUCCUGAAAUCUUCUCGGCAAGCUAGUCUAUUCCUUCAAGAUCACACAGGGAGCUCAAGUCGAUCAGAUCCCUCCUUUUGUUUGCUGGCUCUGCUGUCCCUGUGUCCAUAAUAAUAAGCUUAAUCAGUACCAAAUGGAUCCAGUACCAAGGAGCAAGGAUGUGGCAUGUCCUAGGCUGGGGUUGUUCAGGAUCCAGUCAUAAUUCAUAUAAUCCUUGAAUCCUUAGUUCAGAAAGUUAUUUGAUCCUUGGACAAUGCCCUACAACAGAAUGAAUUUUGGGUCCAAAAUAUUCAUGAUGCAACACCAGCAAGUGAUGAUUGACCUACAGAAAAUGUGCUGACAGAUCAAUAAAAGGUGGUACAAAUCUAAUCAACUCAUAUGAGAAAAUCAGUGUUACUGGUGAAUAACUUACAGGAUUUUGACACCAGUACUAGUCACCGAAUGUGACAGCCCAUUCGUGUCUUUGAACUAAAGUGGAGAUCAGGUUCUAUACUGUUUGACGUGUACCAGGAAGCCUGGCUCUAAGGCAUGGUCUAGGAAUUUUACCUGUUUUAGUUAGUUUGACCAAAUGUAGAGGGGCUCUGAAUUUCUCCAAUCAUUGUCCUUCCCAACUUGGGAUCCUAUAGAUAGAAAAUGUGUGCCCCAUGAUGGAGUUAUCAAUCAAUUUUGAUGCUCUGGGGACCUGACUAACUAUAUAUAUAUGCAUUAUGUCCUCUUUUGGGACAAAUUUGAAUCCUUGGUAUUAGGCUUUUGAGAAGUACCCUGUGUCUUCAGGAAUUUGCUCCAUGGCUAACAUGGACUUGGACUACAGUCUGGGACUGUGUUUGGGUCAGGGCCUUAGACUGAGUAAUGUACUUUGAGAGUGGGAGAAAAAUGUAUCCUUGCUGGGAUUCACAAUUUUUUGUUUUUGGCUCAGCCUCAGGCACUGCCUGCUCCUAAGUGAGGCUAUUCCGAUGAAGCACAGUAUAAAGAGAGCAUGGGAUGAGAACAGAGAGCUUCUGUGGGAUCAGAUUGCACUGGAAGCAUCCAGUAAGGAAACAACCUGGUUCUGUGUGGAAGUCAAUAUGAAAAUCUAUGAUGUUUGUUCCAGGAAGGAUCAGGUAUGAUGAAUGAAGCAUCUGGGGUAGGUUUUCCUGUAAUCUAACAAAAAACCAAGUCAAACCAAUUCAACCAUUCUCCAACUUAUCCAGACACUCUUAUGUCACAUCAAGUUGUUCAUAUCUUUGAUCAUUUCCAAAACUUUCUCUGGUGUUAGCCUCAUGGAAGAAACUGGAGGAUUGACAGCCAAAUCCUCCUCAUCAACUGUAUACUACAUUUACUUAGGAGAGAUACAAUGAUCACACAUUGCGCACUUACAUGCCAUUAUGCUAGAGGCAUGCUAUGUGCUAGCAUAAUUUGUAGUGCACAGAAUUGAUUAAAGCCUAGUGAAAUUGCCUAAAGAAUGGUUAUCAUUUUCCAUUUGAUAGGGCUUCUGUCCUCUCAUGUCUUUUCCCCCUACAUUGCAAGAUGGUCCUUUCUGUGUACGAAGAUCCUGGUUCAUAGUGAUAGAGCUUGAGAAGCAGCCUGUCAGUCCUGUUUUAUGUAAGUGUUCUAGAGUUCUUUCCUAUAGCUUAUAUCCUGGAGCUGACUGGAUGAGGAGGGAUGUGAGAAAGGCUUUUCUCAGGUGAGGGUUUGUGUGACUGGAGACAAAAUUUUCUCUGAAGCAGAAAGAACUGGUCACUGAACAAAAUGCCUUCACUGAGAAGAUGCAGCAUUAUUUCAGUGUCACUGACAUGAGGUUAGAGCAAAGGAUGGGAUGACUCAAGUAGAUUACCUGUACCUGUAAACUGUCUCUUUGGGUGUCUGAUUUGCUACAUAGUUAGCAUCUGUUUGCUACCAGCAGCUCAGAAUAUUGUUCUGUUCCAGUUUAAAAGAAUUUCUGUCCUUGAAAUAUAUGUGAUCCCUAGAGAUUAUGGCUAUUGUGCACUGAUCCCUCCAGUCUGAGCUCUCUAGUAUUGUCUGAGCCCAUUGCUUGUAAGUCUCCCCAGAAACAGGUUUACAGUGGCCAUAAGCAAAGGAGGGAUAUUUUCCUUUUCUGCACGAGCAUCACCUUUCAAGUUCAAUGUCUCCCACUGGGAAGAUUUCCAUGCAGCAUAUGUUUGGUGAUUAUAAUAUCACUUGAAUGUUCAUAUAUUUCUUGAGAUAUGGUUUCUGCGGUUCUUCUCAAAUAUAGAGGUUGUCAAGUGUAACCUAUGCAGACUCCUGCACUCGUGACAUAACAACAGCCUUCACUUCAGUGGUGGCCAUUCUUUCAAGAAGGCCUUCAUUUGUUUUUAUCUCCUGAGCUGAUAAUUAGACAGUGCAACUUGAUUUAAAUUGUAGUAUGUAUGAACAUUUGGAGAAAUGUGAUUUUUCACACUUCAGUUUCCAGCAGUUUUUAAAAGUUGAAAUAAUAAACAGACCCGAGUGAUUUCUUACCCUUCUCGAUUGGGUAUGAGAUAAUGGCCUAAGCUGAAAGAUCAUACUGGAUUGUCCUGCUGAAUAGUGCUGCUGUAGGUUGGAUAACUGACGUGGCAGGUCCUCACCAGAUCUUUAUAUCUUCCUCUCCUACCUCUGAAAUACUCCAGCAGAAGAUUGAACAGGGCACAGUUCAGGACUACAGCUCUCAGUGACAAAACUGUAAACCAGGAGCCCUGAGUGUGCAAAGAAUGUCAACAACUCCCCCAUCUCAGUCUUAAUAACCAUGGCAAUCUUGGACUUACCCGCAAUGUCACCUGUUUAUAUUCAUCUUGAAGAGAUUGUUACCAUCUUGCCUGCCUUUCUGCUAUGUUUGCAAGGCCAGGAACAGGCUGCAAGUGCAUGUUGCAAAUUAUUCAACAAUUGGAUGCUGCUUAACUUACCUGUUUUGCUUGGGUCUUGGUUUGAAGUUUGAUUGCUUUAUUUGGUUUUGAUUAUUUUCAUUUAAAAUUUUGUCGUUUGUUAAUUUUUGUAAUUAAUUUGCUAUAUUCUUUAGAAUAUAUACACUGAAAUCUUUCACUCCCACUUUAAGAUGUUGUUGAAUAAAAUAAUGUGUGUUUAUGAAUAAAAAUGUGACCUUGAACCCUUCA
This is a non-coding RNA of Rattus norvegicus (Norway rat), 4226 nucleotides long. The record is from RefSeq and is a predicted model, not a curated record. NCBI's taxonomy places the organism in Eukaryota, Metazoa, Chordata, Mammalia, Rodentia, Muridae.